This is a long non-coding RNA of Suricata suricatta (meerkat), 500 nucleotides long. RefSeq lists it as uncharacterized. The record is from RefSeq and is a predicted model, not a curated record. The transcript is spliced from 3 exons. NCBI's taxonomy places the organism in Eukaryota, Metazoa, Chordata, Mammalia, Carnivora, Herpestidae.
UCCAGAGAAAACUGCAAAUGCUGUGGGUCUUGUGACAGAAGACGAACCCAGGCUGAGGAAACCUGCAUCUUUUGUAAUGGGCGGAAAUGCUGUUUGACAGACUUCUGGGACUGUAGUAGCCAUGGGCGUCUUAGAGAAAAAAGGAGCGAGGUAAUGGUCGAUGAUGAAGGAUCCAUUUCCUGACAAUCUGGUAGACUGCAGCUGGAGCCAGUUCUAUUUUCAUUUCAGAACUAAUGUUUAUCAAUCUGGUACAUGUGAAAUGACAGCUAGCAAGCAGAUAGGACCUCAUUCCUACAGAAUUCUGCUACAACCAUGUGAUCUUGGAAGAGGACUCAGCUUCAGCAUGAAAUGCAGCCUGGCUGUCACCAUGACUGUUCCGUGUGAGACUUGUGAGCAGGGGUCCCAUAGAGGUCUGUCUGCAUCCUGACCCACAGAAACUGAGAUGAAUGCAUGAUGUUUUAAGCCACUAAGUUAAAUUGUGUUAAAUUGUCACACAGCAA